RNAcentral lists this ribosomal RNA (305 nucleotides) under uncultured bacterium. Its description in RNAcentral is "partial 16S ribosomal RNA". It matches the Rfam family "Bacterial small subunit ribosomal RNA", at positions 505 to 807 of the family's 1533-position model. The record is from RNAcentral.
ACAGCAGCAGCCGCGGUAAUACAGAGGGUGCAAGCGUUAAUCGGAGUUACUGGGCGUAAAGGGCGCGUAGGCGGUUAUUUAAGUGAGUUGUGAAAUCCCUGGGCUUAACCUAGGAACUGCAACUUAUACUGGAUAGCUGGCGUACUGUAGAGGGUAGUGGAAUUUCCGGUGUAGCGGUGAAAUGCGUAGAGAUCGGAAGGAACACCAGUGGCGAAGGCGGCUACCUGGACAGAUACUGACGCUGAGGCGCGAGAGCGUGGGGAGCAAACAGGAUUAGAUACCCGCGUAGUCCCUGUCUCUUAUAC